UCCCGUAGCCUUACCACCGACGACGACCUUCCCAGUACGGCCGACUUCCUGUCCAUCCGUCGAAGCCGUCCCCGACUUCCUGUCCGUUCGCCGCACGGUUCCCUGCUUUUUCCCGUCCUCUCUUCUGCACUACGCUGACGGAGCGCACGUCUACCGGCAAGGCCUCAGGAAGGAAAAAAGGAAGCCCGCUACUGCCUCAGGUUUAUCAUUUAAAGGAUGGAUAAAACGGAUGAGACGAUGAGAGACGGAUGAGUGUUUCCCAAAAGUCGUGGACGCAAAAUAUAAGAGGUGAAGUUUAUCUGUAAAAUUUGAGAACAAA
This is a long non-coding RNA of Protobothrops mucrosquamatus (brown spotted pit viper), 319 nucleotides long. RefSeq lists it as uncharacterized. Lineage: Eukaryota; Metazoa; Chordata; Lepidosauria; Squamata; Viperidae. The record is from RefSeq and is a predicted model, not a curated record. The transcript is spliced from 2 exons.